AGAGUUUGAUCCUGGCUCAGAUUGAACGCUGGCGGCGUGCCUAACACAUGCAAGUCGAACGAGAAACUCCGGGCUUGCUCGGGGGAGUAAAGUGGCGCACGGGUGAGUAACGCGUGGGUAACCUGCCCUUGAAUCUGGGAUAACUUCGCGAAAGUGUUGCUAAUACCGGAUGUCGUUUCGUGAACUGUGGUUUGCGGGAUGAAAGGUGACCUCUUCAAGAAAGUUGCCGUUCAGGGAGGGGCUCGCGUCCCAUUAGCUUGUUGGUGGGGUAAUGGCCUACCAAGGCUACGAUGGGUAGCUGGUCUGAGAGGAUGAUCAGCCACACUGGAACUGAAACACGGUCCAGACUCCUACGGGAGGCAGCAGUGAGGAAUUUUGCGCAAUGGGGGAAACCCUGACGCAGCAACGCCGCGUGAGUGAAGAAGGCCUUCGGGUCGUAAAGCUCUGUCAAAUGGGAAAAAAUCCUUUCAGUGAAUAGCUGGAAGGCCUGAUGGUACCAUUAGAGGAAGCACCGGCUAACUCCGUGCCAGCAGCCGCGGUAAUACGGAGGGUGCUAGCGUUGUUCGGAAUUACUGGGCGUAAAGAGCGUGUAGGCGGUUGGGAAAGUCAGAUGUGAAAGCCCGGGGCUCAACCCCGGAAGUGCAUUUGAAACUUCCCGGCUAGAGUAUGGGAGAGGAGAGUGGAAUUCCCAGUGUAGAGGUGAAAUUCGUAGAUAUUGGGAGGAACACCCGUGGCGAAGGCGACUCUCUGGACCAAUACUGACGCUGAGACGCGAAAGCGUGGGGAGCAAACAGGAUUAGAUACCCUGGUAGUCCACGCCGUAAACGAUGAGAACUAGGUGUAGCGGGUAUUGACCCCUGCUGUGCCGGAGCUAACGCAUUAAGUUCUCCGCCUGGGGAGUACGGCCGCAAGGCUAAAACUCAAAGGAAUUGACGG
RNAcentral lists this ribosomal RNA (936 nucleotides) under uncultured bacterium. Its description in RNAcentral is "bacterial SSU rRNA". It matches the Rfam family "Bacterial small subunit ribosomal RNA", at positions 8 to 916 of the family's 1533-position model. The record is from RNAcentral.